RNAcentral lists this ribosomal RNA (496 nucleotides) under uncultured bacterium. RNAcentral's name for it is "partial 16S ribosomal RNA". It matches the Rfam family "Bacterial small subunit ribosomal RNA", at positions 29 to 507 of the family's 1533-position model. The record is from RNAcentral.
AUGAACGCUGGCGGCGUGCCUAAUCCAUGCAAGUCGAGCGAACGGACGAGAAGCUUGCUUCUCUGAUGUUAGCGGCGGACGGGUGAGUAACACGUGGAUAACCUACCUAUAAGACUGGGAUAACUUCGGGAAACCGGAGCUAAUACCGGAUGAUAUUUUGAACCGCAUGGUUCAAAAGUGAAAGACGGUCUUGCUGUCACCUAUAGAUGGAUCCGCGCUGCAUUAGCUAGUUGGUAAGGUAACGGCUUACCAAGGCAACGAUGCAUAGCCGACCUGAGAGGGUGAUCGGCCACACUGGAACUGAGACACGGUCCAGACUCCUACGGGAGGCAGCAGUAGGGAAUCUUCCGCAAUGGGCGAAAGCCUGACGGAGCAACGCCGCGUGAGUGAUGAAGGUCUUCGGAUCGUAAAACUCUGUUAUUAGGGAAGAACAUAUGUGUAAGUAACUGUGCACAUCUUGACGGUACCUAAUCAGAAAGCCACGGCUAACUACGUG